RNAcentral lists this long non-coding RNA (475 nucleotides) under Prunus persica (peach). Its description in RNAcentral is "long non-coding RNA (PPER_LNC007984)". Lineage: Eukaryota; Viridiplantae; Streptophyta; Magnoliopsida; Rosales; Rosaceae. The record is from RNAcentral.
GGGGAUCAAGAUUGGUCUCUUAGCGCGACGAACUUCCAACAGAAUAGCAUCAUAAUAGGAACGUUUAUCGGAUGCGAAGCCCACAAACGUUCCAAUGAACACAUUAGAGAGAAUUGGGAGACUCCUCAAGGUUAACCUCCAUCUUUUUUUCAGCAAAUUCGGCGAAAUAUAGCUAAACAAUAGUAAAGGCUCUAUCACCACUCGGAUCCCAGAUCCCCACCACAAAAGAACUCAGAGAGAUGGGAAUAAAGACUGCAACCAACAACCCUAUCCGCCGAAAAUCGCGCCCAACACCGAGGAUCCUAGAACACACCAGAUCCAUUCGAUCCAAGAACUUCUAGAAGCUAACCACCAAUAAACUCCCAACUAGCACCACCAGCACCUCGCGAAAAUCCCUAUCACAACCCUCAUCACCAAGUCAACAUGAAGGCUACAGACCCACACAGCCACACAACCACGCAAGAGUCGAGAACUA